GUCGUGUGUUAACUUGUGGGCGUGCGUGAGUUUCGGCCUCGCUGUUUGCAUGUUUGUGCGCUUUGGGUGUACUUUUUCGUAUGGUUGGCCAACAUCAGUUUCGAUUACUAUAAAAUGACUGGCGGAAUGUAGCUUCGAUUUCGGUUGAAGUGUUAUAGCCUCUGGUAGAUGUGGUGAUUGGGACUGAGGAUUGCAACGAAUAUCCUUUGGGCUAUCCGUCUGGCCUCUGAAAGUUGCUUGGGUGCUGAAAGCUUGCUUAUGGUUAUCUAAGUUAACGGUCAAUAGGUUAGAACGUGAUUACAUUCGUUAAGGAUGUUGACGUAAA
Molecule: ribosomal RNA, 325 nt
Filed under: uncultured fungus
Lineage: Eukaryota; Fungi
Description: LSU rRNA
Source: RNAcentral